UUGUUCUUAUUCAAUGUUUCGUUUUCUGGUAAAGCGUCUCGCGACUCGCCUCCUCUCCAGACUGCUCGCUCUUGCUCUGCAUGUGUGUGCGUGUGUGUGUGUGUGUGUGUGUGUGUGUAAAAGAGAGAGGGGAGCAAAGAGAGAGAGAGAGAGAGAGAGAGAGAGAGCGAGACUGUGCACAUGGUUCACUCUGGCUCACGCAUCCUUAUGCCUCUCUUUCUUGUCUGCGUCCGUCGCUCCUUUGCCGCUUAUCUCGCCUUGACUCGAAGACGGUCAAUUGGACGGAUCUCUCAGUCCUGUUUUGUGGCCAAUAAAACUUCUUCUCCUGAAAUCAUUGCUGGAAUCUCAUUGGCGUGCUGUAAGUUAAAAAAAAUCUGAGAUCUCUCUUUUCUCUCUUCUUUUUCUUCCCCUCCCAAGCAGGAAGCAAGCAAAGAAGAAGAAAAACGAAGAGCGAAAAAGGGGCAUCGUGGAUCCUGAAGGGGAGGCCUGUUAGACCAGGUCAGGACAAGUCGAGGAAUGGUCCAUUAGCGUGAGACGGAUAUGACACCCAAACGGAUCAAGCUUCAACUGCCCCUACACGAGUAUACAAUUAUUUACGGGGUUUACAUGAUACCUUGACCAGGAUGUACUUACAACUGUACUGUACAUGUUUUCUCAUUAUUAAUCUCUGUCUUGUAUUUUCUACUGUGGCUCUGGAGCCAAAAGAUUAAUUUACAAAGUAAUUUCAACAUUUUUAAUUUUGUAAUAAAGAAAAUGUUUAAUGCCAAUAAAAUGUUUAUGAAAAAUGUCUUCUUUUUGUAUUUCUUCAAGUUAUGAAUACUGAAUCAGAUAUAGGUCAAAAUAAUACCAAAUGUUAGCAGCAAGCUACACGUAGGCUGUGUCCGGAAAUGCAUACUUUCAUACUAUUCAUGCUAAAUACGAUGCCACAUUGAGUAUGUCGUGCAAUCCAAAAUCAUAUAAUGCAAUUUUGUGUAUGCAAGAAAUGCCAGGAUGUACACUAGAUGUGCCAGAAUCUUUAAACGAUAGCACACUGGUCAUACUAAACCGCUCAACAUUGCUCGCAGCUCUCACAUUAUCUAGCUCCCCAGCUAGCCAAUUAGAAGCAUUUAAAUGACGGUAACCAUCCUGUAAUACGUAUUACACGUUGUCAAAUUAUAUUAUAAUGACUACUCAGCUGUUUUCGUAAUAAACAGAUGUAUAUUGUUAUUGAAUUCUAUUACAGUCCGGUUAUCUUGAUGCUAGCGUAUAAAACGUAGCUCAGACCGGAUGUAUAUAACGUAACAAGUUCAGUAUAUUGCUAACAACAUGCUAACGAUUAGGUUUUUAUGCGGUUUGCAGUACAUUAGUAUUCGGUUUCGGACACAGCCUUAAUCAUGAUUUUCACUAUUUUCUUGGUUUAUGCUAAAAGUUUAGCUAACAUUUAAGCAUGUUUUUUCUAUUCUUGUCAUAACAACCUGUUAACAUGAAGUAGCUACAGCAUGCUAUAUUAAAUAAACACAUAAACGGCCUAUCAGUGCUACUGUAAAUGAUGUCAAGGUCUAUGCUAAUGCUUUAGUUUAUGAUGCUUUUAAUUAACAGCCUUAAUGCUAACCCUUUGACAAAUGCAGUAUAUGCCAUGCUAACACUUAGCACACUUUGCUAACUAUGUUUAGCUAAGUUAAUUAAAGGUUUAUGCAACACUUCGUUUAGGUAGUAGCUGAUCAUGCUAACAAUGCCAUACAUUUUAUUCAUCCCUAUGUUAUAUAAUUUAAAGGUUUUUGCUAACACUGUAUCACGGUAUGCCGUAUCAUGCUAGAAUAACACCAGCAUAUAUUUUUGAUUGAUCUGUGGCACACUGAUUUAAAAAAUAUAUUUUGUGUGCAACUACACUCUUAACAACCUGACACAAUUAAUAUUUAGCACUAGCACACAGUAGUGUUAAAUUGAUGGUAGCAUUUUAGCAUGUUCUAUGCUAAGUGGUUGUAAGAACCAUGCUAGCAUUUUAGCAAACAAUAAUGGCUGUUUUUUUUUUUUAACAUAGCCAAUAACUCUAUUUGAUAGGUUUACAAUUUAAGGAUAAAUAUUUUUUAAUGCUUACAUAUUAGAAGACAAAAUGUUACAUUAGGUUUUAGGCUUUUAUUAAACUUUAUUAUUUAAGCUAGUAUUUAAACUUUUCCUUUUAUUUUAUGGCUCAAUGCUAACACUAACAUGAAGACCCUCAUCAAAAGCUUCAACAUUAUAGCAUUGAUGGUUAGUCUCUCUGGAAAGCCCCACACCGUCACAAUGCUGAAGAUUAUAAAUCUGAAAGUUCAUUCCUGGAGUUUUUUAGCAAUGAAGUGUCAAGUUUUUGUGGUGUUCAUUCAGCCUCAACCUGCUUCCUCUUCCUGAGUGAUUCAGCACAUUUCCAAGAAUGACUUUCAGCACUGGAGCGUUCUUGUCUGGACUUGUUGGAGCCAGAUUUUGUUUUGUUUUGGAUAAUGUGACAAUGAAAAGUAAAGUAUUAGCACACGCCGCAGGACUGAUGCAGCAAGAGGGUUUUUAAAUGUAACAGAGAAAGCUAAAUCAUGUCCUGUCAUCUGAAAGAUGUUGACAUAAGGAUGUUCAGCAUCAGAGGUUAUUAAUGAGUAAAAAAAUAUGUAUAUCUGCCAAUGAAGCAAACACAUUUUAUUGUUAGGUUUCUUGAAAUGAGAUAAACUCACUAAUUCCGACAGUCAAAAGAUGUGUACUGUAUUGGCAGACUGUUUACUCAUUACAAGCAAAGCAGACCUUAUUUUUUUAUGUCUUGAAAUUAGAUGUUUAGCUGGAUGUGUCCAGUGAAUGUGGAUUAUAUUUAGUGUAAUGAUUUAAGUUGUACUAAAAAUUACACAAAUAGGAGUUGAGUUGUUGUAGUGUAUCAUGCCUAUAAGGGGACAUGACGUUUGAUAAAUGAAUCUGGAUGUUGUCUUGUUAAUAAGAGAUUUUUUAAUACCACCAUGUACCAUAUUUGUAAACCCUUGCAAUCUCACCCUGCCACGACUCAUUUCUAUAAUCUGUUUUAUGCAAAAGUGUGAUUCAAAGUUAUUGGUAGGACAAUAUGAAGUCUUGAAUAGAAAAAUGUUGGUCAUUUUAGAUGGACUCUUCAGUUAUUGAAUUCUGCAUUUCUUUAUUUAAAUAUACAAAUGUGAUUUUUAUGGUUUUUACAUUCAGAGCCUAUGUUCAAAUAAAACCCUGAAAUACUG
Molecule: non-coding RNA, 3197 nt
Organism: Labrus bergylta (ballan wrasse)
Lineage: Eukaryota; Metazoa; Chordata; Actinopteri; Labriformes; Labridae
Source: RefSeq, a predicted model, not a curated record